CCUACGGGUGGCAGCAGUGGGGAAUAUUGGACAAUGGGGGAAACCCUGAACCAGCGACGCCGCGUGAGGGAAGAAGUAUUUCGGUACGUAAAGCCCUAUCAGCAGGAAAGAAAAUGACGGUACCUGACGAAGAAGCCCCGGCUAACUACGUGCCAGCAGCCGCGGUAAUACGUAGGGGGCAAGCGUUACCCGGAUUUACUGGGAGUAAAGGGAGCGUAGGCGGGAGAGCAAGUCUGAAGUGAAAUGCCAGGGCCCAACCCUAGAACUGCUCUGGAAACUGUGAAGCUAGAGUGCGGGAGAGGUAGGCGGAAUUCCUGGUGUAGCGGUAAAAUGCGUAGAUAUCAAGAGGAACAC
RNAcentral lists this ribosomal RNA (354 nucleotides) under uncultured bacterium. RNAcentral describes it as "partial 16S ribosomal RNA". It matches the Rfam family "Bacterial small subunit ribosomal RNA", at positions 338 to 709 of the family's 1533-position model. The record is from RNAcentral.